This 253-nucleotide ribosomal RNA is filed under the name uncultured bacterium. RNAcentral's name for it is "partial 16S ribosomal RNA". It matches the Rfam family "Bacterial small subunit ribosomal RNA", at positions 524 to 776 of the family's 1533-position model. The record is from RNAcentral.
UACGUAGGGGGCAAGCGUUGUCCGGAAUCAUUGGGCGUAAAGCGCGUGUAGGCGGCUCGGUAAGUCUGCUGUGAAAGUCCAGGGCUCAACCCUGGGCUGCCGGUGGAUACUGUCGAGCUCGAGUCCGGAAGAGGAGGGCGGAAUUCCCGGUGUAGCGGUGAAAUGCGUAGAUAUCGGGAGGAACAUCAGUGGCGAAGGCGGCCCUCUGGUCCAGUACUGACACUCAAGUGCGAAAGCGUGGGGAGCAAACAGG